This 28-nucleotide non-coding RNA is filed under the name Rattus norvegicus (Norway rat). The record is from RNAcentral. Lineage: Eukaryota; Metazoa; Chordata; Mammalia; Rodentia; Muridae.
GACAGAGACUCACUACUGCCUUUAAAGC